This is a non-coding RNA of Caretta caretta (loggerhead turtle), 4008 nucleotides long. Lineage: Eukaryota; Metazoa; Chordata; Testudines; Cheloniidae. The record is from RefSeq and is a predicted model, not a curated record.
CCACGUGUCCCACGGGCCUGCCCUAGCCCCAGCUGGCCACAAGCUUCGCCAUCCCACACAGGCUCAGCGCGCCACAGCCAAGAUGAACACAGCAAGAAGGGGACAUGGUUCCGGCUCGGAAGAAGGGCAAGGAAGGAGGAAUUAGGGCCUGCCAACAGGGGCGAGGUGAGAUGAGAGGGGGAAGGUGGCAGGGCAACACUGACGGGGCGCCUUCCAAAGCGCGAUGGCAAAGCCAUUUAGCCAGAGCAGAGCACGCAUACAGUGCUGUGCACACUGCCCAGCUUGCCAGGGUUGAUAAGUGUGGUGCAAUGGGGCCAUCUGCUGGAGACCAAGCUCUGGGAUCCCACUUGUUAUGGAGAACGUCAGACAGCUCUGCACAGCUGCAGGGUUACAUCUCUCCCCUUUACUACCGCGCCGGAGGGAGCCAGGCCACCAGGACACCUUAGUGCAGUUACAAGGUUCCUCUCUGUUGGUGUCUCUCAGGGCUCUCUGUCGCUGGCCUCUCACCUUCACCCCUGUGGUGGGCUUGGUGCCUACAGCACGCUCUGCAAGCAGCAUUUCAGAUGUCCCGGGCUGGGUGCUGUGCUCCAGGGCAAGGGAAGAGAGUGACUGAGAAAUAAGUGGCGUUAUGAGUUUUCUGUGAGCCAGCCUAGCUGUGGGAGGCCUCCAUCCUGCAGCCUCCUUAACCCUGGGCCACAACGUCCCACUUCUGCAACGCUGCUUCAGCAGUGGAACAAUCUCAGGAAAUUUUCCCCCCUUUGCCUGGCUGGGGCCAUGGGACACUAAUGCGAGAAGCCAUUGAUUGGAGCUCUGUGAGCCUGCAGUGCCCAUACAUCACCUUUUGUCCUCAGACACCAGCUGUCACAUGCACCCUACAAGCAUCGGCUGUAACGGUUGGUCACACGAGGACUUUAGCUCAGCUGAAGCAGGGCAAUCUACAACGGAUGGGAAGCUACACGUCCGGUACUGCCCCAGUCUGACAGAACAGAGCCUGGUGUUUUCAAACAACCCACAAGCCACUGCUCCCAGCACCAUGGCAUAAGGGUUUCUGAAGCCCUGGGCCAACGGGAUCUCCAUGAGAGCUCUGCCAACAGCAGCCCUCAGCAGGUGGAUGCUGCCAGGACAAAGCAAAACAAGCAGCCUACGCUAUCCCCUCCCCCGCAAGCCUUUCCUUCCCCAAACGGGGAGGACACUGGAGGUGUGUCUGCCGCUCCUUGGACUCAGGUGGAUGCCAAUCAACAUCCUUGUGCAGCAGGCACCAGAAGGAACCAGGAAGUGGAGGCCAGGGAGCGCAGCUUACUGCAGAGGGGAGAUCGGCUGGAAGAAGCACUCGGAAAGGGUCCCAAGACCACAGGGGAAACUCUGAAAGAAACCAAAAAUGGGAUCUGAAAGGCAAAACUUGGGAGAGGAGUUCAGCAACCAGAUCAAUGACGUCCUGAGCAGACUCGCUACCAAACAGAUGUUCCAGUCAGACUGGGACAUUGCUGCCUUCGCCAUCUUCUUCAUCUUCAUUGGUACUGUGCUGUUGAUGGUUCUCCUGGCUCUGAUCCAUUGCUGCUGCUGCUGCUGCGACUGUGACUCCCGGGGAUCACACAAGAAGGUCCCCAGAAAGAAAGUGGGCAUUGAUAACAAGGCCAUGGAGCCAUAGCCCCGCCUCCUCCCUUGGACAGACAGAUUCUGGCGCCAAUGGGAAAAAGACUCUUCUUUGCUUGCUUCUUUCCGCUACACAGCAAUCAACUGCAGAUCGGACUGUUUGUGUUAAUAUUGAGUGCUGGCCUGGUGGGGCCCUGGCCUCACAGCACUGCACUGCACUGGCUCCAGCACUUGUUCUUCCUUCUCUGUGCACAAAGGAUAAAGAUUAAAAGGAACUCCUACGAUGCUGAAUAAGGAUAGCAUCUACAGCAAUCUCACAUUGUACAAUUAGAGCCACUGGUCCUCAAACUACAGGGCAGAAGUUGCUCAUCAGCCUAGGGUCAGCGGAGGAAGUCUACCUCCUUGUGGUAGAGUACUGUACAUAACAGGGAGUUUAUACCUUCCAAGGUCACUACUGGCAUCAGGGAUUGCAACUAGAUAGGCCAUUGGGCCGGUCCUGAAAGGCAGCUCGUGUGUGUGUAGUCACUAAUUAAAACAGUGCCUCCAGGGACUCUUCCAGGUGCCUGAAAACAUCCCUUGCUGGCACCCAUCAUCUGACACUUCCAGAGUCUGGAAAGGAACAUGCCCCAGACCAGAACUGACCAUAUGGGAAGGAACAGCUCCCCAGAAAGCCCAUCCUGGCUUAGCUGAACACAGAGGAGGCGAAUGUCUUAGCAGCACUUUCCUAUAGAGCCCCCGUUCACACAGGCUCUUGGGUCCUUUUGGCAGCAGCCAAGGAGUUAAAUUGCUACCUGCACAGUCCCUGAUAGGCAAGAGAACCGUCCAUAGAACCAGCUGAAGGAGAACAGGCUCGGGGAGGAAGCACGUCUUGUGUACUGACACGCUGCUGUCUCCAUUGAUUCAGGAGAAGGAAGACAGAGCUCUGCAGAACCACUGAACUAGGGUAGUGCUGGUGCAGGCCUGAUGCUCGGAGAGCCCGGUGUCUGUGUCUGUAACGGCGAGGCCAGGCCCCAGCCAGGGGCACUGGGCUCUAGAUCAGGGGGCUCAAGAAAGCCCAAAGAGUCAUUUCUUUCCUGCGUAGCUGGUUUUACACAGAACUCAGUGGAUGUAAUGCACGGUCAGUAGCCUUCUGCUGAGUCCUACGGAGCCAGCAAGCACAACCCAUUAGCCAAUGACCCUGUCCAGCUCCCUGAGACACCACUUUGUUCAGCAGCUAGGGGAAGGGUUAGAACUCAUCACUGUCUCCCUCUGGGAAGAGUACCUCAGGGCUGGGUUAAGUCAGCCUCUCUGCUGUCUGAGACACUGACUCCCCACAGCAGGCCAAGGCAAAUAAGAGAGUAACUCGGGCAGUGGCUUGGAAGCCAUGGAAAGUGAGGGGGCUUGAGCACUCCAGCUCUGAACAAAGUGCCUGUCAGGGCCUGGCCUCUGCCACUCCCACCCCUCUCUGGUGCUCAGGAACAUCCUGAGCAUGGCAUUCAGGAACAGGCCUCACUUACCCACUGGACUAAGUUUAGACAGGAGCUUGCCUGGCACUGCAAAGGGAAGCCAGAGUCACAGACAGCCUUGCUCUUCUGACUCCUCCUUGAAGCCCUCUAAAUAAGAAGUGUUCAGAGAGCACAUGGGACUUCAAAGGGACCUGUGCUUCUAUUCAGUCCGGACAUGUUCUCCUUCAUCACAGUACAGUCUGUAUGUACGCACCCAUUGGCCUCUGCACACCCCUGCAGAGCCUUAUUCCAUAUGGCAUAAUCUCUGCAUUGCAGUAGUAUUACACUCUGCCUAGGGAGUGUGUCUAAAAGUGAAGGCCCACAAGGUACAUGGCUUCAUCUUCCCCAGCCCCUUUCGUACUCACUUUGGCUCAGAGGUGAGCGACACACACAGAAGAAAGGCCUCUUCUCUUUGUGGGCUCGAUCCUGUGGUCAGUGAGACCACUGACUUCAGUGGCAGCUGGAGCAGACCCCCCCUUCUGCCCAGCAGGUUUGCUCUCAGACCCAGCUAGCAGCAGGGCACGCUGGAAAUACAGGCGUCCCUUUGGUUGGAACAUUUAUCGAUUUCAGCAGCUCUUCUGGCUGACUGGCUCCACUCCCUGGCCACUGACUGGUACAUUAUAACCCUGUGCUUUGUGUGCUAAUUAGAGUCAAGCAGAGGGAGUGUCACACCCUUCCUGCUGGUCAGCUGCUCCAGGGCUUGUGACUGUCUUCUCCCACCCAGCUCUCCGUUUAUUCUAUGCUCAUAGGGUUCACAGGGCUAGUGGCUCAGGGAACCUGAAGGGAGAGUGUUGGGGUCAGUUCAAUUAACAUUCCAAACAACGUCCUUUGGGGUUUCCCACUGACUUGUAUGUUCAUAAAACUUUCUAAUUUCAUCUCUGAAUCCAGGAAGAGAGACUCAUGAUUAUAAAUAAAAAGCACAUGAUGGAGA